Long non-coding RNA from Physeter macrocephalus (sperm whale), 502 nucleotides. RefSeq lists it as uncharacterized. NCBI's taxonomy places the organism in Eukaryota, Metazoa, Chordata, Mammalia, Artiodactyla, Physeteridae. The transcript is spliced from 4 exons. The record is from RefSeq and is a predicted model, not a curated record.
GGUUUUUUCUCCGUGAGUGAUUUCAAGUCUAAAGGAGGAGACUCAAUGAGACAGACGUAGGUCCUCCAUCAUCAGUUAUUACACUUCUGAAACGAAUAUAUCAAAGGAGACCUAAAAACCGACUUUAUUAAAAUUCUUCCUAUCAGAUAUACUACAACUACAUCUUAGCUGAAUGCAAUUUGUGGCCUCUCUUCCUUCUCUGCCCUGGUGAAUGACUGCUAAAGUAAUUUAAAUCAUGUAAAACAUGAUAAACAUUGAUUUGUUGCCUUGGCCAUUGAACUGGACAUCUUGCCUUCUUGCAGAGCCAUGAUCUGCUUUAUAAGAAUUCUGUUAGCCUGCUAGAGCUAUGUGGAGAGGCUGUCAGAAAAGCCACAUAAGAGAGAGAGGCCCUGAGACACAAGCCUGGCCAUCCCAGUGUUUCAGUCAAGCCCAGGCCCCUGCUGACCUGCCAGCUGGAUGAAUCCACUUGAGUAGCCAUCAGGAAGAUCAACAGAAGGGUCAC